Molecule: ribosomal RNA, 497 nt
Filed under: uncultured bacterium
Lineage: Bacteria
Description: partial 16S ribosomal RNA
Rfam family: Bacterial small subunit ribosomal RNA
Source: RNAcentral
GAUGAACGCUGGCGGCGUGCCUAAUACAUGCAAGUCGAGCGAACAGAUGAGGAGCUUGCUCCUCUGACGUUAGCGGCGGACGUGUGAAUAACACGUGGAUAACCUCCCUAUAAGACUGGUAUCACUUCGGGAAACCGGAGCUAAUACCGGAUAAUAUAUUGAACCACAUGGUUCAAUAGUGAAAUACGGUUUUGCUGUCACUUAUAGAUGGAUCCGCGCCGCAUUAGCUAGUUGGUAAGGUAACGGCUUACCAAGGCAACGAUGCGUAGCCGACCUGAGAGGGUGAUCGGCCACACUGGAACGGGAACACGGUCCAGACUCCUACGGGAGGCAGCAGUAGGGAAUCUUCCGCAAUGGGCGAAAUCCUGACGGAGCAACGCCGCGUGAGUGAUGAAGGUCUUCGGAGCGUAAAACUCUGUUAUUAGGGAAGAACAAAUGUGUAAGUAACUAUGCACGUCUUGACGGUACCUAAUCAGAAAGCCACGGCUAACUACGUG